CGUAGAGUUUUGAUCAUGGCUCAGGAUGAACGCUGGCGGCGUGCCCUAAUACAUGCAAGUCGAGCGAACAGAUGAGAAGCUUGCUUCUCUGAUGUUAGCGGCGGACGGGUGAGUAACACGUGGGUAACCUACCUAUAAGACUGGGAUAACUCCGGGAAACCGGGGCUAAUACCGGAUAAUAUUUUGAACCGCAUGGUUCAAUAGUGAAAGACGGUUUCGGCUGUCACUUAUAGAUGGACCCGCGCCGUAUUAGCUAGUUGGUAAGGUAACGGCUUACCAAGGCGACGAUACGUAGCCGACCUGAGAGGGUGAUCGGCCACACUGGAACUGAGACACGGUCCAGACUCCUACGGGAGGCAGCAGUAGGGAAUCUUCCGCAAUGGGCGAAAGCCUGACGGAGCAACGCCGCGUGAGUGAUGAAGGUCUUCGGAUCGUAAAACUCUGUUGUUAGGGAAGAACAAAUUUGUUAGUAACUGAACAAGUCUUGACGGUACCUAACCAGAAAGCCACGGCUAACUACGUGCCAGCAGCCGCGGUAAUACGUAGGUGGCAAGCGUUAUCCGGAAUUAUUGGGCGUAAAGCGCGCGUAGGCGGUUUCUUAAGUCUGAUGUGAAAGCCCACGGCUCAACCGUGGAGGGUCAUUGGAAACUGGGAAACUUGAGUGCAGAAGAGGAGAGUGGAAUUCCAUGUGUAGCGGUGAAAUGCGCAGAGAUAUGGAGGAACACCAGUGGCGAAGGCGGCUCUCUGGUCUGUAACUGACGCUGAUGUGCGAAAGCGUGGGGAUCAAACAGGAUUAGAUACCCUGGUAGUCCACGCCGUAAACGAUGAGUGCUAAGUGUUAGGGGGUUUCCGCCCCUUAGUGCUGCAGCUAACGCAUUAAGCACUCCGCCG
RNAcentral lists this ribosomal RNA (891 nucleotides) under Mammaliicoccus sciuri. RNAcentral describes it as "bacterial SSU rRNA". It matches the Rfam family "Bacterial small subunit ribosomal RNA", at positions 9 to 873 of the family's 1533-position model. Lineage: Bacteria; Bacillati; Bacillota; Bacilli; Caryophanales; Staphylococcaceae. The record is from RNAcentral.